Molecule: ribosomal RNA, 726 nt
Filed under: uncultured archaeon
Lineage: Archaea
Description: bacterial SSU rRNA
Rfam family: Archaeal small subunit ribosomal RNA
Source: RNAcentral
GAGCUUUCGGAGCUCGGCGUACCGCUCAGUAACACGUGGGUAACCUAACCUAUGCAGGGGAAUAACCUCGGGAAACUGAGUAUAAUGCCCCAUAGUCCACUACGCCUGGAACGGUGAGUGGAUCAAAGCUCAGGCGGCAUAGGAUGGGCCUGCGGCGUAUCAGGUUGUAGGGGGUGUAAAGUACCCUCUAGCCAUCUACGCGUACGGGUGUUGGGAGACAUAGCCCGGAGAUGGAUUCUGAGACACGAAUCCAGACCCUACGGGGUGCAGCAGGCGCGAAAACUUCACACUGCAGGAAACUGUGAUGAGGGAACUCCAAGUGCUAUCACUAUGUGGUAGCUUUUCUUGACUAUUAAUCGGUCAUGGAAUAAGGGCUGGGAAAGACCGGUGCCAGCCGCCGCGGUAAUACCGGCAGCUCAAGUGGUCGUCGCUUUUAUUGGGCCUAAAACGUCCGUAGCCGGUUUGGUACAUUCGUGGGUAAAUCAACUCGCUCAACGAGUUGAAUUCUGCGAGGACGGCCAGACUUGGGACCGGGAGAGGUGUGGGGUACUCUCAGGGUAGGGGUAAAAUCCUGUCAUCCUGAGAGGACCACCUGUUGCGAAGGCGCCACACUAGAACGGAUCCGACGGUCAGGGACGAAGCCUAGGGGCACGAACCGGAUUAGAUACCCGGGUAGUCCUAGGUGUAAACGCUGUGGACUUGAUGUUGGAGAAGCUCCGAGCUUCU